This 1577-nucleotide unclassified non-coding RNA is filed under the name Ceratitis capitata (Mediterranean fruit fly). RNAcentral's name for it is "uncharacterized LOC110118159, transcript variant X1". Lineage: Eukaryota; Metazoa; Arthropoda; Insecta; Diptera; Tephritidae. The record is from RNAcentral.
ACAACAGCUUAUAAUAAUUCUUGCGAAUUGGGCAAUAGCCCGCACUAGCCUUCGGAAAUAUUAUUGGAGUAAUUGAUUAAACAGCAGUUUAAUCACAUGCAGGUGCAACGUGACUUGGCGUCGACCAUAGGUUUCAUUUAGGCUUAAGAAAUUAAUAUUGUUUAAUCUUAAGUUUGCUGAUAAUAAAUAAAGACACAGCGGACGCGAGUCCGCUUAAUUUUAAAAUGCCUUAAUUUAAUGUAAGACUUUGACUGGCGCCCAAGCAGGGCUUAAGUUCGUGCACCACGUAUAGCCCUUUGGCCAUAGAUGUCAACGCGUCGUGAAAGUAAUUUAGUAAAAGUGCUCGUAAAGCUAACGCGUAGUGAAAGUGAAAAGGCAAAAGUCGCCUGAGAAAAAACAGCCGUACUAGUCGUCCUAAACGACUUAAGCACACUUGCCGGUCCUGAACACAUCAAUCCAGCGUUGGAUUCCGGUAGGAAAAGAACGCACACCUUCAUUCGUGCGCAUCGAGGGAGCCCAAGUCAAACGACGAAGAUGCAAUAAGCCUAACAGAAAACGGCGGCAUAUUGGAAGUCGGCGAUUUGGGCGAAAACGCAAACGUGGCAGGUGGCUACAGAACGCGGAAUCCACGACACCAAUUACGUGGAACAAUAUGGCAGGAGUCGAACCCUUGCCCAAUGCCCUAAUCGAUGACAUCGAGGCGUAUAUACAACAACCACAUCAGCGGCGGAUGAGGCGAUCAUUUAAACGCCAUAUCGAGGCGUAAGGAUCACACGUACGGGCCUGGUGCCAAUAAGUCUCGCAGCGGGAAGUGAGGGGAGGGUGUAGGGACCCCAAAAUCUAAGGUUUUUGGAGACCUCCCAACACACAUAAACUCAUAUAAAAAUAUGUUUGAAUUUAAAUGAAAUCUUUGAAAUUUUAAAUAUAUAUAUAUGCACCGAGCGUAAAAAUUGCAACAUCAAAGGCUGCAUAAAGAAACAAUACGAACUGUUACAUCUUAGGCGACAAGAAACGACAAAUGGUCAGAGUUCCACGGAAGCUAUAAGAAGGCGGAAAGCUCUCAGCAGUGCUGUAGUUUCAAACUCUAGCAAGUUGCUGUAUAAAAUAUUGCCAACACAGUUGUAUGCCAAUGGUCAAGUCAUAAAUAGUUCUGGUCUCUUCGAUAAUAAUUCAGCAAUAUCAAUGAUUAACAUAGAGUUAGCUGAUAGACUCGGUCUUGAAGGACAGAAAGAUAAGUUUACGCUGCAAAGGUUGGGGGCACUACGGUUACGCAACAGUCCAGCAGGGUCGAUGUACUGUAUAUCUGGAGUCAGUCGUUUCAAUAGAAAGUUUUUAUUGCGGAUCGUCAGGACUGUAGCCAAUCUUCAACUCCCAGCACAAACUCCACAGCAGAAUCGCCACUUGUCGAUCAAUAGAUGGAGCUGUACCGGAAUUGUUAAUCGGGUAAGAUAAAGCACACUCAGGAAUUUUAAGAAAGACUAUGUAAGGACCCCAAAAUCCGAGGCUUUUGGAGACUUCACAAUACACAUAAGCUUAUCUAAAAAUACAUUUGAAUUUAAAUGAAAUCAAUUAUAGUA